AUGAUAAUUAGUUUAAGCCAAAAANCAAAUGAUUUCGA
Molecule: transfer RNA, 38 nt
Filed under: Canis lupus (wolf)
Lineage: Eukaryota; Metazoa; Chordata; Mammalia; Carnivora; Canidae
Description: partial tRNA-Arg
Source: RNAcentral